CACAUACAUUGUUCGUCGAGUUCGCGGGUCCAAUGAUAGCGCCAUAGUUUUGCCAUCUACGUCCCCGCGCGCGAUCGCGGUCCGCGCCAGUUAGCGUUAGAGACCAAACGCGACUUAUUCGUGACUUCGUGACUCAAGGUGACCUACCCGGUGAGGCUCCCCGAGGCGGCCUAUCGCGCCUCGUCAUCUUUCGCGGAGUCGCUUUCAGCAAGUUCUUACGGUGAUACAAAGAAGAUUGCGCGAUAUAUGGGAAUAAUCACCAACUUGGAAAUAUAAUGUCCUUUGCAAAAGAACCAAGAGCUAAUUUAUCGAUCCGAGAGGCGAGCGACUGGCGGCGCACUCCGAGAGGUGAAAAAUAUUCGCAAGAUGGACCAGAUCGCAGAAUACGGGAUUUUACGGGAAAGAGGAGGGAAUAAUGUAUGGCUUUGAUAUCGCUGAUAAAAUUUAGGUGGACCAGAGCUCUGCCUAAUUGUGACGACUAAUGAGACAGACAUUACCUGACACGCUCCGUGCGUCCACCAGCUUUAUGACUCUUUUAUUACACAUUAUUUUUUCAUGCAGAAAUUUAAAAAUGUUCUUGAAGCGUGACGAAAUAAGCGAGCGGAUCCGCGCUCUCCUACGCUUAAUAGCUUCCAUAAAAAGGAAAAAAGAUUGACUUCAAAAAUUGGCUAUUUUCGGUCCGAAUCGAGCGAGUAACCCCUUAACAUGUGAACAUUUUUUGCCGAAAUUGGCGGAGCGCGGGUCGCGAAAUAGUGCGAGAAUAUUUCGGCGGAAAUUCAUGGCGAAACAAAAGCGCGGAUAAGUUUCGGUGUUCGCGGUCGGAUUGUCUAGGGUUUGAUACGAUACACACCGAGAGAAUACCGCGCGAGAGGAGAGACGCAGCGUGCGUCAAUUUAUUGAUGGAAUGCAUUUUUCGUCCCGCCGCGUCGCGCAGAAUAAGCAACGCAAAUGCUAAAGCGAUAAAGUAGUGAUAUAAAUUUGAUCGAAUACUACGUGCCGACGCGUUUUAUAUAUAUACGCGUUUUUAAAUGGCAUUAUCGUAUCAGCAUUUCCAGAACACGCGCGUCUCCUACAGAUUGCACUGCUGCGUUUUGCGAAACUUCCAUAAACCUAUUACAGUUGAACGACGAAGUAAACAGAGGCGCAUAAUGUGUUUCGUGCUUCCCGCCAAGUUUUUCUUCUUAUCUCCACAGGGUCAAGCAUAAAACAAGAAUUCACCGACUCUGCGCAAUUCCCCCUCUCGCCCUCCGCCUCUUUCUCUCCGUGUUUCUCACACAUUCUCUUUUUACAGGCGGCCUUUUCCAUAUUCACUCCGUGUGUUUGUUUACACGCGUCACGUGUACAACGGGCUUAAUCAGCGUCCAUUAACAUUUCUCGUUACGGCAUUCUCCCUCGCGCACAUUCGGAAUUUCGAAUUCUAACGCAAACCGCAAACCGUCGAGAAAGGAGGGAGGGAAGGGGGGAAUAUCGACGCCACCCUGACGAUAGGUGCGCAUGAUGUUUAGUCGAGAUCGCCGAACAUCAACGAAAUCACUUGAAUGAACGCGGCAGCGAUCGAGUCGAAAGCGUGUUGGUCGAAGGAUAGCGAAUUUCUCUGCUCCUCGCGAACCAAAUUCAGUUGCACGAGCCAGAAUGUCCUGUCCGAUCAUUGUUAAUUAAUCUUCCUUUUCCGCGUAUGCAAUAAUAAAAAUAUUUCAGACACCGCGAUGGAAGGACGCUCCUAGAGGCGUCGAAACAAUCGUUGGUUGUUCCACGCGAUUCCAACUUGAUCCCGACACACAACUUCGCCCGGAUCCUCCAUUGACCUUUGUGAACCCGCAAGAGAGGACAAGCGCGAGGGACAAGGAGGCGGAUUUCGCCGGUUAUCAUUCUCGAUAUGCAUACUCGACGUCAUAGCGUCGCGUGACGACACGAAAAAUCCGUCCGACGAAAGUGCCGUUAUUGUCUGGAACGGCGAGUCAGCGGCCGUAACAUCAAAGUGCAUCCUUGCGCUCGAAGGAGGAAUCGCGCCGUGUGCGACCUCGCGUUAGCCGAUUCAGCCGGCACGAGGAUCGAGGAUCGAGGAUCGCCGAUGUCGCGUGCCGACUGGCGACUCGGCGUCCUUCGAGCGGCGAAUUUGAACAGAGGCGAGAGAGAGGACGCGAUAUGGAGUUUUGAUAGGACCCUGCAUAUUUUGCCGGAGUUCUCCGGGAUUAUGCUCGACGAUGAUAUCCGCCCGAUAGCGGAGAGCGCCGGAGAGCGCGCGUUGACGAUAUCGCCGUGAUAUUCACGCGUUCGCGCGAUGCAGUGCGUGCGCAAUGCAUCGCGCCGCGGUAUGCUAUGGAAACUACCAUCUCUACAUACCAGCGUCGCGCGAGUUAUAGCGCGGGGAGUAAUCCGGAAUUAGAGAAUGCUGAGAUUAACUCGCUGCGGGGCAUCAGCGCUGCGAAGAAUGUUACGUUGCGAGGUGUCGCGCUCUGUGGGCUCUCUGUUUGUACCGUGCGGCCGGACUGCGCGAUUAUGCGCGAUCGCACUUAAAACUCCCGUCGCCGUUGCAUUCGCCCGAGACGCCAGCGGAGAUAAGUACCGCUUCGCGCGUUGCUGCCCGAUGGGAAAUCGCAUCGAGCGCGCGCGCGUGCGUGCGUGCGCGUUUGCGGAAUUUUCACGCGGAGGAUUACGCCGUCCGUAAAUAACCGUAAAAGAACGCGGCUUGAGAAACGCGAGCUUCGCACCGCUUCGUCAAACACUGCAGCGCUUCGAAAUCAAAUCAACGAGCGACGGCGACGGGGCGAGCGAGACUUCAGGCCGGGAGUGACCCCGGCGAAACGAGGAGUAAUUGAAAAAAAUGAGCUCAUUACGGACGGUACGCUGUCGCGGUGCUCGCGGAGGGUAGCGCGGGUUUUGUCAUGCCGUGAUACUAGAAAUGGAAUUUGGAUUAUAAAGGGAGGGCAUUACCGACCUAUCCGACUAGAGAGUCGGACUGAGAAGGGAACGUUUUCAAUGCAGUAAAAAAGCCGAUUUAAAGCUGUCAGUUCGAUGUAUACGAGGGGAUUAGUAAUGAAGGAGUGUGUAAUGUUACAGUCGUGCCUUGGCGCCGGCCGGGAGCACGGGGGAGGGGCGGGGUCGAUAAUAGUUUUAAGAAUGAAUAAGGACGCACCGUGCAUUUGGCUUCUCCUAGAUAACUCGAUCGUACUUGGACUACACUUGGAGACGCGCACGAUUAUAGUCAGCUGCGGGUUAAUAAUAAAUAUUCGCGCAUCGGCUCGUUCCGCUUUUACUUUCGAUAUCGCGGAGCAUAGACGAGACGAGUUCGAGGAUCUUAAAAUAUCAACGGCGAGUGGUCGUUAUGAUACAAGUUUGUCUUUCCUUUAGCUUUUCUUGCUCUCGAGCAACUUUCCCUGUUUUUCUUUUGGUUGCAGGAAACAAUUAAUUUACUCGAGGCUCGAGUUUUGUUCAUCGCUUCGACCACUCACGAUUCUCGAUUCUCGCGUUUUACCGUCCGAGUCUCUCGUAUCAAUGUGCUAAAAUUUGAGAGCCGUAAGCUCUCGUCUUAUUCAAUGUAUUAAGCAAAGUAUCCAAAGUGAAGCCGUUCAAUUCAUCACACCUCGCUCGGUUAUAUUAUACCGUCUAAUUAGUAGGGAUCUAAGGACAAAGGACGCAUAAUUCUUCUUGGCUCUUUCACAUUUUAUUGCUCGUUAUAUGAGCUAAUUAACCGCGAACCCUUAGAUAGAUGAAAUACAGCGACGACCGGUCGUGUUUCUGAUCAUUCUCGCCGCGUAAUUCCAAUUAUUGCCAAUAAAUUCUAGAUGGUAAUUUCUUUUUUUCUACGGUGUUUUAUAACCCCAGAUGGCCGCUGUGAGUAUCCGAGGAAAGAGGAGGGAGAAGCAACAUUAUUUUGCACAAGGUGUCAAAUGUUAAAAAAAAGAAGUCUCACAAUUUCUACAUGUGGAAAUCUGCCACAAGCCUAACACAAGGAGGGAGCAAUUUGCUUUCGCAAUAAUAACUCAAAUUCAAAGCUUCAAAGCGUUCAAAGCCUCUACGAAUGCGAACGUCACGGGAGUGGUAAUAACGCUGAGCGAUUAAAUAUUAUUUCUGCCCAAGUUAGAACACUUUGUUAAUAUAAAGCUUGACCGGCCGCCGAUUUGAGCUUCUGCUCCCCGCGAGAAUCUCUGAAGAAUUAAACAACCGAGCGUCGAAUUACGAAACACACGAUUCCCUGAUCGUUCUUUCAGAAAUAAGCGUCAAUCUCGGCGAGAGACAGAGCGAAUUUUCUCUCGGCGGGCGGGGCUCGUCGCCGAGAGAGCUCGUCAAACUCGGCGUUAUAACGGCAAUUUUACGGAAUUUUCCCGAGAUAAUGGCUCAUCUAUAACUGUUCGAGAGUGUAUUAUGCCGGAGCCGAAGUGUGGACAGCAGCGGAGCGCGGUUAAAGAGGGUUCCGCGGCCGCGGAAGGAACUCGACACUCCGCGCUGUGUGGUCUUAACGUCUAGAUGAUUGAGGGCCAUGUAAAGUAAAUGUAUAGGGAGGGAAGGAGACAGAGAG
This 4519-nucleotide long non-coding RNA is filed under the name Harpegnathos saltator (Jerdon's jumping ant). RNAcentral describes it as "uncharacterized LOC112588873". The record is from RNAcentral. Lineage: Eukaryota; Metazoa; Arthropoda; Insecta; Hymenoptera; Formicidae.